CCGCACUCAUUCACGAGUUUACACUCUUUUACAGUCUAAGUAUGCACUCUCACACUUUUCUGCCUAAAGAGUUUUGUGUAGCUCCCUCUAGCUUCACCCCACACGUUUUUCAGAAAAGGAAGGGUGCUGUCCAUUUAUAGAUCAUGGAUCAGCCCCAUGUACAACAGUUGCCUAUUUUCUAGGCCAAGCACUUGCCCACUACCUAUCAUGCAUGUAGUUGCCUCCUGCCACUACUUAGAAACGUGGUCACAUCAUGUGAUCAUGGGAUCAUGGCCCCCAAAUCGUGCUAACUCCUGCCAGCAUGAUGAACAAGACUCAACUGCUGCCCAUGUGCACAGCAUGUGCCGG
This 348-nucleotide long non-coding RNA is filed under the name Nicotiana benthamiana. Its description in RNAcentral is "long non-coding RNA (NBEN_LNC031453)". Lineage: Eukaryota; Viridiplantae; Streptophyta; Magnoliopsida; Solanales; Solanaceae. The record is from RNAcentral.